This 528-nucleotide ribosomal RNA is filed under the name uncultured bacterium. RNAcentral's name for it is "bacterial SSU rRNA". It matches the Rfam family "Bacterial small subunit ribosomal RNA", at positions 17 to 518 of the family's 1533-position model. The record is from RNAcentral.
UCCUGGCUAGGACGAACGCUGGCGGCGUGCCUAAUACAUGCAAGUCGAACGGUCUUUCUAUGGAAGCUUGCUUCCACUGGGAAGAUAGUGGCGAACGGGUGAGUAACACGUGGGUAACCUGCCCAUAAGAGGGGGGAUAACAUCCGGAAACGGGUGCUAAUACCGCAUAGUUUUCUUGAUCGCAUGAUCGGGAAAGGAAAGACGGCCUUUGUGCUGUCGCUUAUGGAUGGACCCGCGGCGUAUUAGUUAGUUGGUGAGGUAAUGGCUCACCAAGACGAUGAUACGUAGCCGACCUGAGAGGGUGAUCGGCCACAUUGGGACUGAGACACGGCCCAAACUCCUACGGGAGGCAGCAGUAGGGAAUCUUCCGCAAUGGACGAAAGUCUGACGGAGCAACGCCGCGUGAGUGAAGAAAGGUUUUCGGAUCGUAAAACUCUGUUGUCAGAGAAGAACAAGUUGGAGAGUAACUGCUCCAGCCUUGACGGUAUCUGACCAGAAAGCCACGGCUAACUACGUGCCAGCCGCCGC